AUGGUCAACGCGCGGGUGGAUAGAGCAGGUCAUUGGUGUUCAUCCUCCUUGGCUCGAACAGGACCAGGACAUGGCGGGGAAGCAGGGGAGAACCGGGACUGCGGGGUCCAGCGGGGAUGGACGCCAGCGACACACACGAGAGAGAUAUGUGGGAGGAAGGAGGAGAAGGAGACGGGCAGGGAAGGAGGAGCAGGGCGGCGGGGGCCUGUUGGUGCUCGCCGGUGGCGAGACGAGUCGGCGGGAUGCGGGCACGAAGAGAAGGAGCCUGCAGCGCGGUGCUGCUGCGGGAGGAGUCCGGUGUGA
RNAcentral lists this ribosomal RNA (303 nucleotides) under Triticum aestivum (bread wheat). RNAcentral describes it as "partial small subunit ribosomal RNA". The record is from RNAcentral. Lineage: Eukaryota; Viridiplantae; Streptophyta; Magnoliopsida; Poales; Poaceae.